UACGAAGGGUGCAAACGUUGCUCGGAAUUAUUGGGCGUAAAGCGCACGUAGGCGGCCUUGCAAGUCGGAUGUGAAAUCCCUCGGCUUAACCAAGGAAGUGCAUCCGAAACUGCAGUGCUUGAGUACUUAAGAGGAUCGCGGAAUUCCCGGUGUAGAGGUGAAAUUCGUAGAUAUCGGGAAGAACAUCGGUGGCGAAGGCGCUCUACUGGACCACAACUGACACUCAGGGACGAAAGCUAGGGGAGCGAAUGGG
This 253-nucleotide ribosomal RNA is filed under the name uncultured bacterium. RNAcentral's name for it is "partial 16S ribosomal RNA". It matches the Rfam family "Bacterial small subunit ribosomal RNA", at positions 524 to 776 of the family's 1533-position model. The record is from RNAcentral.